UACUUGUACUGAUUGAGAUUUUAACACGAAGUGAGUGGCGAACGGGUGAGUAACACGUGGGUAACCUGCCCAGAAGUAGGGGAUAACACCUGGAAACAGAUGCUAAUACCGUAUAACAGAGAAAACCGCAUGGUUUUCUUUUAAAAGAUGGCUCUGCUAUCACUUCUGGAUGGACCCGCGGCGUAUUAGCUAGUUGGUGAGGUAAAGGCUCACCAAGGCAGUGAUACGUAGCCGACCUGAGAGGGUAAUCGGCCACAUUGGGACUGAGACACGGCCCAGACUCCUACGGGAGGCAGCAGUAGGGAAUCUUCCACAAUGGACGCAAGUCUGAUGGAGCAACGCCGCGUGAGUGAAGAAGGGUUUCGGCUCGUAAAGCUCUGUUGUUAAAGAAGAACGUGGGUAAGAGUAACUGUUUACCCAGUGACGGUAUUUAACCAGAAAGCCACGGCUAACUACGUGCCAGCAGCCGCGGUAAUACGUAGGUGGCAAGCGUUAUCCGGAUUUAUUGGGC
Molecule: ribosomal RNA, 511 nt
Filed under: Pediococcus pentosaceus
Lineage: Bacteria; Bacillati; Bacillota; Bacilli; Lactobacillales; Lactobacillaceae
Description: bacterial SSU rRNA
Rfam family: Bacterial small subunit ribosomal RNA
Source: RNAcentral